RNAcentral lists this ribosomal RNA (326 nucleotides) under uncultured eukaryote. RNAcentral's name for it is "partial 18S ribosomal RNA". It matches the Rfam family "Eukaryotic small subunit ribosomal RNA", at positions 1470 to 1796 of the family's 1831-position model. The record is from RNAcentral.
CCCUUAGAUGUUCUGGGAUGCACGCGCGUUACACUGAUUCGUUCAACGAGUUUAUGACCUUGCCUGAUGAGGUGGGGGAAUCUUUUCAAAUCGCAUCGUGAUGGGGAUAGAGUAUUGUAACUGUUAGUCUUCAACGAGGAAUUCCUAGUAAGUACGUGUCAUCAGCUCGUACUGAUUAUGUCCCUGCCCUUUGUACACACCGCCCGUCGCUCCUACCGAUUGAGUGCUCAGGUGAAUAGUAUGGACUGCAUCAGUGUUCGGUCUCCGAAUGUUGACGCGAGAAAUUCUGUGAAUCUUAUUGCUUAGAGGAAGGAGANGUCGUNACA